GAUCCUUCAGCGAGAGGUGUAGGGCGAGGAAUAUCUAUGACAUAGAGCUUGCGCUCUUGUUUGAGGACAAUCCUCAAAUUCCUUUGCCAGUCAAGGAAGUUGGUUCCUGUCAGCUUGUCCUUCUCAAGGACUGAUCGUACAGAGAAGUUGUUUGAAUUAUUUGCCAUUGGAUAUCUACAAUAUUUCAAAUGCAUAAGAUAAAUUAGUCUACAGAUGUUUAUUAAAUUAUGUUCAAGUGAUUAUAAAUAUAUAUUCAAAAUAUAUAUCUCCCACUAUUUUGUUCAAAUCAAUAGCCCUAACUAUUAAUUCGGAAAGCAUUUCUGCAAAUCUUUCUAGUGAGCCAAGAUCCAUAUUUCAUCCAUGUUUUAAGUUAGCGUGGGCUAAUACUCUCAAAACAUGACUAGAUUCUUGUUUAUCUCAUUCAUAUUGUAAUUUAUUACAAACUUAGAGUAGUAGUUGUUUAGAGAUUGAAAGAUCAGAUCAAUUUGGUGCUCAAGACCAAUCGGGGCACCCAAUUUUUUCAAGAUAAUCAAUAUACCCUAUCAUCUUCAGAACAUGCGGUCCUACCGGAUCACGUUCACCCUGCUUACAAGCAUUCAAAGAUUUGAAAGUAUCAAACCUCUCCUGACGAGCCUGUCCCUCAAACAUACGCUUAAGGUGCUCAAUCAUAUCAUAAGAAUCCAUAUUCUCAUGUUGUUUCUGAAGUUCAGCACUCAUGGUCGCUAACAUGAGACAUUGAACAUCCGUGUCAUCAUCGAUAUGCUUCUGAUAAGCAGUAUGCUGAGCACGGGUUGAUCCUUCAGCGAGAGGUGUAGGGCGAGGAAUAUCUAUGACAUAGAGCUUGCGCUCUUGUUUGAGGACAAUCCUCAAAUUCCUUUGCCAGUCAAGGAAGUUGGUUCCUGUCAGCUUGUCCUUCUCAAGGACUGAUCGUACAGAGAAGUUGUUUGAAUUAUUUGCCAUUGGAUAUCUACAAUAUUUCAAAUGCAUAAGAUAAAUUAGUCUACAGAUGUUUAUUAAAUUAUGUUCAAGUGAUUAUAAAUAUAUAUUCAAAAUAUAUAUCUCCCACUAUUUUGUUCAAAUCAAUAGCCCUAACUAUUAAUUCGGAAAGCAUUUCUGCAAAUCUUUCUAGUGAGCCAAGAUCCAUAUUUCAUCCAUGUUUUAAGUUAGCGUGGGCUAAUACUCUCAAAACAUGACUAUUUAGGUAGACAACAUUUGUCAAUUAUAUCAAAUAUAAUGAGAAUAGUUAUUGUUUAGAGAUUGCAAGAUCAGAUCAAUUUGGUGCUCAGGACCAAUCGGGGCACCCAAUUUUUCAAGAUAAUCAAUAUACCCUAUCAUCUUCAGAACAUGCGGUCCUACCGGAUCACGUUCACCCUGCUUACAAGCAUUCAAAGAUUUGAAAGUAUCAAACCUCUCCUGACGAGCCUGUCCCUCAAACAUACGCUUAAGGUGCUCAAUCAUAUCAUAAGAAUCCAUAUUCUCAUGUUGUUUCUGAAGUUCAGCACUCAUGGUCGCUAACAUGAGACAUUGAACAUCCGUGUCAUCAUCGAUAUGCUUCUGAUAAGCAGUAUGCUGAGCACGGGUUGAUCCUUCAGCGAGAGGUGUAGGGCGAGGAAUAUCUAUGACAUAGAGCUUGCGCUCUUGUUUGAGGACAAUCCUCAAAUUCCUUUGCCAGUCAAGGAAGUUGGUUCCUGUCAGCUUGUCCUUCUCAAGGACUGAUCGUACAGAGAAGUUGUUUGAAUUAUUUGCCAUUGGAUAUCUACAAUAUUUCAAAUGCAUAAGAUAAAUUAGUCUACAGAUGUUUAUUAAAUUAUGUUCAAGUGAUUAUAAAUAUAUAUUCAAAAUAUAUAUCUCCCACUAUUUUGUUCAAAUCAAUAGCCCUAACUAUUAAUUCGGAAAGCAUUUCUGCAAAUCUUUCUAGUGAGCCAAGAUCCAUAUUUCAUCCAUGUUUUAAGUUAGCGUGGGCUAAUACUCUCAAAACAUGACUAUUUAGGUAGACAACAUUUGUCAAUUAUAUCAAAUAUAACUCUUGGAUAGUUUGGUGGAGCAACCCUUUGCACAUAUUUAUGUAAUAAAUCUCACCAAACUCCAUGCCUCUAAACCCACAAUCCUAUUGUGAUGGUUUAGUUAAGUUAGACCCAAUAAUUCAAUAACUAAGUACAUUUACUUAUCACGUCUUCCCAUGAUUGAUUAAAGCACUUUGCUUUGGCAAACCUACUUCUUUCAAUCUAGAUCUUGACGAGUAUUAAUCAUUGGAAGGCAUCUGAUUAACUUAAUAUUUUAAUUAGGGAUUUUAUUAAAACGACCAUGAUCCUGUCAUAAAGAGAUCCUCAAUUUUUCCUUGAAUUAAAUAUUUCAAAUCAAUACUCUUUGAUUGGUUGAAAACCCGACCUGAGGUGUUGGCACAACGGCUAUACUUAAAAACCCCAAAUCCGACGGAAUCUUCCUCUCAUUGAAUAUCGAAAAUCCAUAAUUAAUUCCGUGUUUCAUAAACACGAGAAUCUCAUGAUCGUUGUAUUCUUUUUUAAAAUCUUGAGUCGUUACAGAUUUUAUCUUGUUUAAACAAGCAUGGCAUGGGUGUCGUAUCGAAUACAUACAUCUUAAUCUAAUUAAGCAUGCAUCUCUAUAACUACGCAUACAUAUCAUCAUCUCAUGCAUCAUAUAUGUAAAGUGCAGUAUGUAAACGUGCAUGGUUAUGGCCUUCAUCCUAUAUGAUCCUUUCAAGCUAAUGAAAGAAUCUAGGUCAAUCUAUGGUGAAAAUGUAUAACUGUUACAAGUCUUCAUUCUCUUUGAUUGCCCCUCCUUUUGGAUUGUCCUUCAAUCUUCAAGUACAUUACAAUGAAUAAUUGAAUACAACCUAUUCUAAUGUACUUACAUAAGAAAACUCGAGUUACAUUCGAGAUUAAAAUUAUAAGAAUGAAGAGCACGACAUGCAAGUCGUAUUUAUACAACCAAAACCACAAAACUUUAAACUAAGGGUCUUAAGGUCAUAACCAGCAUCAUGCUCAAGUAAGAACACAUAAUCAUACAAAGCGGGGGUCCAGGGGCGGCAGCCACCGGGCGGGGUCCGGGGGCGGCAGCCCCAGGCGGGGUUCGAUUUUUGGUUAGCUGAACCGAAUGCACACACCUACUUACAGAUGGGCAAUCCCUAAAGGAUCAUUUUGUUCUGUGAAGUUGAUUUCAACAAGCCUUAUAAAGGUCAAAAAGAUGUUGGGCAGUACGACAGGUACGACUCUAGUGACCUUUCAUUCCACGCCAAUUACAAGUACUCUCAACCCUUUUAGCCACUGUAUUAUCUUUAGAUUUCCCCUCAUUUUUCAUCCAAUUCUGGUGGUGAUGUCCUCUUUUAGAGUUUGACGGGUUUUGGUAACUAUGACCUCGAUCAUGCCUAAAACCACGUCCACGGGCAUGUCAAUGACCACGCCCACAUCCCCAUCCACGUCUAAAUUGCUUACUUGGGCCAUGAUCAUUACUAGUUACUGUUGGGUUUCGGGGCAAUAAAACGCAGCGAAAAGUAACGUAAAAUCAAAAAUUUCCGAAACCCUAACCGCAGGAUCCAUCUAUAAUGCAUGGUUGAUUAUGGAGAUACGAAAUAAUACCUUGUUGAAGCUUUACGUUAGCGAAAGAUGCAGGUCCGGAAUAAGCAAUCACCACGCAGCCCUCGGUCUAAGGAUCGCGUCUCUAAACAGUCCACACGAACGCCUGAUCGCCUAAUGAUCACCGGAGCCGGUACUAGCUGAAAUCAACCUCUCUCUCUCUCUAGCCUCUCUUGAUAUAGAACUGCUAGGGUUUUAUAAAACGAAUUUUAUAACACUUAACCCUAAAACAAUACAUCAUUAUGUAUUUAUAGGGAAGGGAGAGAGAUGGGCCUAACCCUAAUCGGUUUUGGGCUUCUCCAAAUCCAAUCCGAUUUAGGUUUUAAUAUUAAAUUCGAAAUCCUGAUUAUUUAAUUAAGACCGGCUCAACUAAACAAUUUAUUUCGAAUUUAAUCAUUUAAUUUAAAUUCAGAAUUUAAAUUAAAAACUCCUUUAAACGUUCUAAGUGUGUGACCCUUUAGGUUAUUAUUACGUUGGCAAUAAUUUUAAUAUCCCAUAAUAAAAUUAUAAACAAUGAGCGGCAUCUAGUAAUACAUCAUUGCUACCCAAGUAAUAAUAAUAAUUAGUGAUUCAAUUAAACCUUUUUGUGAAUAAUGUACAAUGUAAUAUAAUCCUUUUAACCUUAUAUUAUAGAUCAAACGCGAGGCAUGCAUAGUGUCAUCCUCUUCAACGUUUAAUCCGAAUUUCCUUGAUCAAUGAGUAGACUAUUAAACAAAUCAAUAUUUGAGCACGGCCAUGCAUUUCAUAGUCUCACUCAAUCAAGAGGCCAAUAAUAUCACUCCUAAAAUAGGAGGGUUAAAUCCUUUCUAGAUCAUUCAUAUUUCUCAUACGAUUCAUAAU
Molecule: long non-coding RNA, 4433 nt
Filed under: Daucus carota (carrot)
Lineage: Eukaryota; Viridiplantae; Streptophyta; Magnoliopsida; Apiales; Apiaceae
Description: long non-coding RNA (DCAR_LNC000234)
Source: RNAcentral